Molecule: long non-coding RNA, 1006 nt
Filed under: Oreochromis niloticus (Nile tilapia)
Lineage: Eukaryota; Metazoa; Chordata; Actinopteri; Cichliformes; Cichlidae
Description: lncRNA (ENSONIG00000036422.1)
Source: RNAcentral
AGCAGGACACUGAAAGAGAGCCUUCUACUGCUAACCCUUCCUUAAAUGGCUAAAAGGGGAAGAAAAACUGAUACCACUUCCUUUCAUCCUCUCAGUGCAUGAAAAGAUAACUUCAAUACGACCUCACGUAAAGAUUUUCACACAUUCUCCUCUGAGGCUGAUCACUAACAGGACACACUGCAGUCUGUUCAGAGCAGGACACACACGUUUGUUUUUGAGGAAAAGGGUUUGAAAGCUGCUGACGAUCAACAGAGGCUCAGCAGCUGGCAUGGAAGCUGUAGUUGGACUGCUAUUAAUGUGGCUCGGAGUCUCUCAUGGUGAGCUUUUCAUGUUAUAAUUCAUCAAGCUUCAUUUCUGUGUAUGAAUAGCAUGUUUUGCAGGAUUCAAAACUCAAUGACACAAGUUUUACAAAAUAAAUAAAUAAAUAAAUUCAGUUCAGGACAUGUUGAACAUAAUGACAGUACUAUUGUCUGAACUCUUUAACUUUACAUUAAUGCUACGUUCUAAUAUGAUUUCAACAUUGUAACAUGAAUGUGCACUUAAAAUAUUUUGGAGGGUUAUUUUACUGCAGCAAAAUGUAUUUUACAGAUAGUAUGGUAGCAAAAACUAAAAAAUGAAAAUAUUCUAGCUUUUGCAUCAAUAUUUUUCGUAAACAACACAAUAUCAUAAUUAUAGGGUGAGUUAAAUAUAUUUUUAAAAUGCUAAAAUUGAAAAAUUCACUAAAGGAAUUUUUUUUUUGUUUUUUUUGAAAAACACUGGGCUACUUGCAAAAUUCAAAACUCAGACAUACAGUUAAUCAUUUGUACUUCUACUGAUAUAACUGAUUUGAGAUCAUUUUUAAAUAUUCUUCUAAAAAUAAAAAACUUAAAUAUCAGAUAGAGCUGUUAGCUGAAUCAUUACUGUUUUUUAGUUUUUGCUUUUGUUUACUUUUACAUUUUCCAUGCAGGUGUGGAACCUUACUGUGAUGGCAGACAGGAUGGAGCUCAGUGUUAUGGAGCUUUGGGAG